RNAcentral lists this transfer RNA (61 nucleotides) under Camelus bactrianus (Bactrian camel). It matches the Rfam family "tRNA". From Rfam's summary of the family: Transfer RNA (tRNA) molecules are approximately 80 nucleotides in length. Their secondary structure includes four short double-helical elements and three loops (D, anti-codon, and T loops). The record is from Rfam by way of RNAcentral. Lineage: Eukaryota; Metazoa; Chordata; Mammalia; Artiodactyla; Camelidae. RNAcentral also lists the same sequence under 2 other names.
GGGGGUAUAGCUCAGUGGGAGAGCGCAUGUGAGAUCCUGGGUUCAAUUCCCAGUACCUCCA